Molecule: transfer RNA, 74 nt
Filed under: Perkinsus olseni
Lineage: Eukaryota; Perkinsozoa; Perkinsida; Perkinsidae
Description: tRNA-Val
Rfam family: tRNA
About the family: Transfer RNA (tRNA) molecules are approximately 80 nucleotides in length. Their secondary structure includes four short double-helical elements and three loops (D, anti-codon, and T loops).
Source: RNAcentral
GCUGGAAUGGUCUAGUUGGUUAUGACGACUGCCUAACACGCAGUAUGUCCCGAGUUCGAUUCUCGGUUCCAGUA